UCGAGCGGUAGCACAGAGAGCUUGCUCUCGGGUGACGAGCGGCGGACGGGUGAGUAAUGUCUGGGAAACUGCCUGAUGGAGGGGGAUAACUACUGGAAACGGUAGCUAAUACCGCAUAAUGUCGCAAGACCAAAGUGGGGGACCUUCGGGCCUCAUGCCAUCAGAUGUGCCCAGAUGGGAUUAGCUAGUAGGUGGGGUAAUGGCUCACCUAGGCGACGAUCCCUAGCUGGUCUGAGAGGAUGACCAGCCACACUGGAACUGAGACACGGUCCAGACUCCUACGGGAGGCAGCAGUGGGGAAUAUUGCACAAUGGGCGCAAGCCUGAUGCAGCCAUGCCGCGUGUGUGAAGAAGGCCUUCGGGUUGUAAAGCACUUUCAGCGGGGAGGAAGGCGGUGAGGUUAAUAACCUCAUCGAUUGACGUUACCCGCAGAAGAAGCACCGGCUAACUCCGUGCCAGCAGCCGCGGUAAUACGGAGGGUGCAAGCGUUAAUCGGAAUUACUGGGCGUAAAGCGCACGCAGGCGGUCUGU
RNAcentral lists this ribosomal RNA (530 nucleotides) under Klebsiella pneumoniae. RNAcentral describes it as "bacterial SSU rRNA". It matches the Rfam family "Bacterial small subunit ribosomal RNA", at positions 62 to 583 of the family's 1533-position model. The record is from RNAcentral. Lineage: Bacteria; Pseudomonadati; Pseudomonadota; Gammaproteobacteria; Enterobacterales; Enterobacteriaceae.